Molecule: ribosomal RNA, 468 nt
Filed under: uncultured bacterium
Lineage: Bacteria
Description: partial 16S ribosomal RNA
Rfam family: Bacterial small subunit ribosomal RNA
Source: RNAcentral
GACGAACGCUGGCGGCGUGCUUAACACAUGCAAGUCGAACGGAAAGGCCCUGCUUUUGUGGGGUGCUCGAGUGGCGAACGGGUGAGUAACACGUGAGUAACCUGCCCUUGACUUUGGGAUAACUUCAGGAAACUGGGGCUAAUACCGGAUAGGAUCUCCUGCUGCAUGGUGGGGGUUGGAAAGUUUCGGCUGUUGGGGAUGGACUCGCGGCUUAUCAGCUUGUUGGUUGGGUAGUUGCCUACCAAGGCUUUGACGGGUAGCCGGCCUGAGAGGGUGACCGGCGACAAUGGGACUGAGAUACGGACCAGACGCGUACGGGAGGCAGCAGUGGGAAAUAUUGCACAAUGGGCGGAAGCCUGAUGCAGCAACGCCGCGUGCGGGAUGACGGCCUUCGGGUUGUAAACCGCUGUCGCCUGUGACGAAGCGGGAGUGACGGUAAUGGGUAAAGAAGCACCGGCUAACUACGUG